GUUGUAAAAUAGGACAACAGAGAAGAACUAAUCGUUGAUAAUAACCAAAAGGCAAGAAGCUUAUCUUGAUGAAUAUACAACGAGGCAUCGAGAUUCGGAGUCAAAACACCAUCCAGAGAGGAGACAAAACGGGGCAGCACAAGACGAGGGAACGUCUGAACCAAGCGCGAUCCGAAGAAUGAGGGACUGCCACAAUCAGCAAUGGUAGAAUCACCAGAAUUAGCCAUGAGUUAGUAGUGGGAAAGAGCACCAAGAGCUCAGGCGACUGAUACCAUAUUAGUAAGUAUAGGAAAAUAGAAAAGAAAUACAAAAUGAGAAAUGAUUAAAUAUUCUA
Molecule: long non-coding RNA, 334 nt
Organism: Gossypium raimondii (Peruvian cotton)
Lineage: Eukaryota; Viridiplantae; Streptophyta; Magnoliopsida; Malvales; Malvaceae
Exons: 2
Source: RefSeq, a predicted model, not a curated record